AUUGAACGCUGGCGGCAUGCCUUACACAUGCAAGUCGAACGGCAGCGGGGGAGAAGCUUGCUUUUCCUGCCGGCGAGUGGCGAACGGGUGAGUAAUACAUCGGAACGUGCCCUGUAGUGGGGGAUAACUAGUCGAAAGAUUAGCUAAUACCGCAUACGACCUGAGGGUGAAAGUGGGGGACCGCAAGGCCUCAUGCUAUAGGAGCGGCCGAUGUCAGAUUAGCUAGUUGGUGGGGUAAAGGCCUACCAAGGCGACGAUCAGUAGCUGGCCUGAGAGGACGAUCAGCCACACUGGGACUGAGACACGGCCCAGACUCCUACGGGAGGCAGCAGUGGGGAAUUUUGGACAAUGGGCGAAAGCCUGAUCCAGCAAUGCCGCGUGUGUGAAGAAGGCCUUCGGGUUGUAAAGCACUUUUGUCCGGAAAGAAAUGGCUCUGGUUAAUACCUGGGGUCGAUGACGGUACCGGAAGAAUAAGGACCGGCUAACUACGUGCCAGCCGCCGCGGUAA
RNAcentral lists this ribosomal RNA (508 nucleotides) under uncultured bacterium. Its description in RNAcentral is "partial 16S ribosomal RNA". It matches the Rfam family "Bacterial small subunit ribosomal RNA", at positions 30 to 523 of the family's 1533-position model. The record is from RNAcentral.